GGGGAUGUAAAGGUUUCGACGGGGGAUGCGACCCGUGAUAAGCGAGCGGCGGUGCGGAACCGCCAUAAAAUCCGCAAACUUAAAAUAACUGACAAAAAUACAGUUGCUUUAGCUGCUUGAUGCAGCUCGUCCCUGUGCGGAGGACCUCGGCCGCACAAGGGGCGUCGAUCAGAGGUAAAGGUGAACAGGGCACCGCUUUGCGCCUUGUCAUCCAUCAGAAGCUACUAAACCGUGCAGCCUGUCGUUAGGCGGCACGGAGAGGGAAUGUCAAUAUAGCGACUGCGCUCGGAGAAACUCGCGGCAAACAUCUUUCGGACAGGGGUUCGAUUCCCCUCAUCUCCACCA
RNAcentral lists this transfer-messenger RNA (345 nucleotides) under Acutalibacteraceae. Its description in RNAcentral is "Ruminococcus_E sp900317315 Standard tmRNA". It matches the Rfam family "transfer-messenger RNA". Rfam says of the family: Bacterial tmRNA, also known as 10Sa RNA or SsrA, is named for its dual tRNA and mRNA-like properties. Its role is to liberate the mRNA from a stalled ribosome. RNAcentral also lists the same sequence under 1 other name. Lineage: Bacteria; Bacillati; Bacillota; Clostridia; Eubacteriales. The record is from RNAcentral.